Molecule: long non-coding RNA, 573 nt
Filed under: Marmota monax (woodchuck)
Lineage: Eukaryota; Metazoa; Chordata; Mammalia; Rodentia; Sciuridae
Source: RNAcentral
CUCGAAUGGGCUGGGCUGGGCAUGCAGAGGGCAGUGCCUAGUGCCCAGGUGGAGGAUAGGACGAGAGCCCUUGGUGGGAGUGAUUGGUGCUGUUGUGAGCAGGGAAGCAUCCUCUGUGGGUGGUCUGCACCCUGGCCUCCUGGUCUUGAUGCAGACAGACAAGCACACUCUCUACUCUGCCUGGCCGAGCCUGGUUCCAGAGCUUAGGGUGGAGCCUCACUGUCAAUGUGUGCAGCACGGCUGAUGGGGUCACUUACACCAUGGAGGUUACUUACUUUGUUCUCUGGUGUCAAGGUCGGGGGCUGAAGCACACCAAGGUCACCAAGCUGGGCAGGCUCUCCCUUCCUGCUUUGGGGGCCUGCGAACUUGCCCCCUGGGGCUGCUCUCUGCACGCAAGUACGCGGCACGUUGCUCUGCAUGCACAGAGCCGACCUCCUGGUUUCCCUCGAUUAGACUCUUCAUUGGAGCCUCUUUAAAAGUCUCGCAGGAGCCUCUUAGUAUUCCAGCAGGGCUGUCUGCGGUAAUGUGCUGGAGGAUAUAGGUGCCACUCGUGAGCAGAGAGCUUGAAAAAUG